UUAAAGUUUGACCCCCCGAAACUAAGUGAGCUACUUCGAAACAGCUGUAAGAGCUAACCCGUCUCUGUAGCAAAAGAGUGGGAUGAUUUCCAAGUAGAGGUGAUAAGCCUACCGAACUUAGAGAUAGCUGGUUGCUUAAGAAAAGAAUAUUAGUUCUGCCUUAAGUCUCCCCGAUAAACAAAAACUUAUACUAGACUUAAGAGUUACUCAAAUAAGGCACAGCUUAUUUGAAACAGGAUACAACCUUAAACAUCGGGUAAUUUUUUAUCGUUUGUAACAAGUGGGCCUAAAAGCAGCCACCUUUCAAAAAGCGUUAAAGCUUUGUACAUAUGAUACCUUAAUGUCAACAUAAACUUAAAACCCUUUAAUAAUAUUAAGCAACUCCAUAUACCUAUGGAAGCUAUUAUGCUAGAACUAGUAACAAGAAAUUGAAUUUCUCCAAAAUGUAAGCUUAAGCCACAAUUGACGCCCUAUCGGCAAUUAACGUUCAUGAAACUACUGUAGCAACAACAUCAAGAAAACCCUACUUUCCUAGACGUUAACCUUACACUAGAACAUUUAUGGAAGGAUUAAAAGGGAAAGAAGGAACUCGGCAAAUCUUGACCCCGCCUGUUUACCAAAAACACCGGCUCUUGCUUAAUUAUAAGAGGUCUAGCCUGCCCGGUGAUNCNAUUUAACGGCCGCGGUACCCUAUCCGUGCGAAGGUNNCAUUAUCNCUUGUUCUUUAAAUGGGGACUUGUAUCAACGGCAUCACGAGGGUUGUACUGUCUCCUUUCCCCAAUCAGUGAAACUGAUCUCUCCGUGAAGAAGCGGAGAUAGAAUUAUAAGACGAGAAGACCCCAUGGAGCUUUAAACCCAGCAACUACCUCUGUUUAAACACACCCACAUAAGUAACAGAACCCUAUUUGUCUGGUUUUAGGUUGGGGUGACCGCGGAGUAUAAAAUAGCCUCCACGAUGAAUGGGCUAACCCCUUAAUCUAAGAGUCACACCUCUAAGAAUUAGCAAUCUAACAUAAACUGAUCCGACUAUCGAUCAACGAACCAAGUUACCCUGGGGAUAACAGCGCAAUCCACUUUAAGAGCUCCUAUCGACAAGUGGGUUUACGACCUCGAUGUUGGAUCAGGGUAUCCUAGUGGUGCAGCAG
This 1145-nucleotide ribosomal RNA is filed under the name Aglyptodactylus madagascariensis (Madagascar jumping frog). RNAcentral's name for it is "partial 16S ribosomal RNA". It matches the Rfam family "Bacterial large subunit ribosomal RNA", at positions 700 to 2561 of the family's 2925-position model. Lineage: Eukaryota; Metazoa; Chordata; Amphibia; Anura; Mantellidae. The record is from RNAcentral.